CGCGGGGCAACCUGGCGGCGAGCGGCGAACGGGUGCGUAACACAUCGGAACAUGUCCAUUCGUGGGGGAUAGCCCGGCGAAAGCCGGAUUAAUACCGCAUGAGCCCGAGAGGGGAAAGUGGGGGACUCGCAAGAGCCUCACGCGGAUGGGUUGGCCGAUGUCCGAUUAGCUAGUUGGCGGGGUAAGAGCCCACCAAGGCGAUGAUCGGUAGCUGGUCUGAGAGGAUGAUCAGCCACACUGGGACUGAGACACGGCCCAGACUCCUACGGGAGGCAGCAGUGGGGAAUUUUGGACAAUGGGGGCAACCCUGAUCCAGCCAUUCCGCGUGAGUGAAGAAGGCCUUCGGG
Molecule: ribosomal RNA, 347 nt
Filed under: uncultured bacterium
Lineage: Bacteria
Description: bacterial SSU rRNA
Rfam family: Bacterial small subunit ribosomal RNA
Source: RNAcentral